RNAcentral lists this transfer RNA (69 nucleotides) under Cordylochernes scorpioides. RNAcentral describes it as "tRNA-Gly". Lineage: Eukaryota; Metazoa; Arthropoda; Arachnida; Pseudoscorpiones; Chernetidae. The record is from RNAcentral.
UGCAUCGGCCAGGAAUCGAACCCGGAGCGCCUGCGUGGCAGGCGAUCAUUCUACCACUGAACCAAAAGC